AAGUCGAGCGGACUUGAAGAGAAGCUUGCUUCUCUGAUGGUUAGCGGCGGACGGGUGAGUAACACGUAGGCAACCUGCCCUCAAGUUUGGGACAACUACCGGAAAACGGUAGCUAAUACCGAAUAAUUGUUUUCUUCGCCUGAAGGAAACUGGAAAGACGGAGCAAUCUGUCACUUGGGGAUGGGCCUGCGGCGCAUUAGCUAGUUGGUGAGGUAACGGCUCACCAAGGCGACGAUGCGUAGCCGACCUGAGAGGGUGAUCGGCCACACUGGGACUGAGACACGGCCCAGACUCCUACGGGAGGCAGCAGUAGGGAAUCUUCCGCAAUGGGCGAAAGCCUGACGGAGCAAUGCCGCGUGAGUGAUGAAGGUUUUCGGAUCGUAAAGCUCUGUUGCCAGGGAAGAACGCUUGGAGA
This 415-nucleotide ribosomal RNA is filed under the name Paenibacillus sp. 132-4.1-CV-H(s)-07. Its description in RNAcentral is "bacterial SSU rRNA". It matches the Rfam family "Bacterial small subunit ribosomal RNA", at positions 59 to 459 of the family's 1533-position model. The record is from RNAcentral. Lineage: Bacteria; Bacillati; Bacillota; Bacilli; Caryophanales; Paenibacillaceae.